AGGACAAACGCUGGCGGCGUACCUAAGACAUGCAAGUCGAACGGGGGAUGGACCCUUCGGGGACCAUCUCGAGUGGCGAACGGGUGAGUAACACGUAGGAACCUGACGUUUGGUGGGGGAUAACGCUGGGAAACCGGCGCUAAUACCGCAUGAGGUCCCCGGAAACGGGGAGCAAAGCAGCAAUGCGCCAGAUGAGGGGCCUGUGGCCGAUUAGCUAGUUGGUGAGGUAAAGGCCCACAAGGCGACGAUCGGUAGCUGGU
RNAcentral lists this ribosomal RNA (260 nucleotides) under uncultured bacterium. Its description in RNAcentral is "partial small subunit ribosomal RNA". It matches the Rfam family "Bacterial small subunit ribosomal RNA", at positions 26 to 291 of the family's 1533-position model. The record is from RNAcentral.